Molecule: long non-coding RNA, 1169 nt
Organism: Pyrus x bretschneideri (Chinese white pear)
Lineage: Eukaryota; Viridiplantae; Streptophyta; Magnoliopsida; Rosales; Rosaceae
Exons: 2
Source: RefSeq, a predicted model, not a curated record
UCCUCCUGGCUCGGCCGCUCCGGCUGUUGGGUGCGAAUAUUCCGUCAAUAACUUAUUUGUGCUGAUAAUUGGGGAUAUUACGAAUUCCACGGACACGACUGUUUUUGUUCAACUUUGACAAAGUCCACAUUCUACACCACUAUAAAUAAAGCCAACCUUCGAUGUGAGACUGGGAUGUGUUAAAUAUUGUGCUCAAAUCGCUGAGAUGGGGAUCUACCUCGGCGACGCCGUUGAUCGUGGAAUCAAGAACAUGGGCGCGAAUCGAGGUCCGAUAAUGGAAUUACAAGAGACGAGGGAGAUGUGGGUGAGCUUGGGCAUGCUGCGCUAGUCUCGUUAACUCCCUCGUAUGCAAACAGCGGCGCGGGGAGGCUGGGGUGGUGUGGCGGGGACAACGACGGGCCGAAUACGACCGACAAAAACAAGCUGUUUUCUCUAAGCAUUCGAAGGACUUUCUUAAGUCCGAUUCUGAUAAAAUUUUGAAUAGUUUGAAGCAAUUAUCGGAAAUCGCUAGGUGCGGUAAGCUUUCGGAGUUUGUUGUUACAGUCACACAAGCUGUAACUUUUGGGGUAUUGCUGGGUUAUCAAUCGAAAACAGCGAGUGAUGGGGAUGGUGGAGUUUCUACUGCUUCAAGCUUUACAUACCAGGUUAUGGAUAAGCUUUUUUACCAGGCCCUGGUCGGGUUUUGCUUCUGUUCUUGUUGAAAACUUUGCUAGGAUUUGGUAUUAGCUUUCAAUUCAGAUGGAAGGUGUGGCAGAGGGUCUAAUUCUAACAAUUCUCUCGAGUAUGGACGAUUAUGUGUCAGAAAUGACUAAUUUUCCGAGAUGGGUUAAUGUAAUUUCAGGCGAUAAGUUUAGAAGCAGGUGUACGCGAAGCCGGGGGGUGGCAAGGACAUCGGCGGGACCAAUGCGACCAACAGAAGCAAGCUGGUAUUUUUUUUACAGAGGAAGCAGUUUGAGUUGGAGGAUUUGUUGUGGGCGUCGGCCGAGAUGUUGGGGAAAAGGAGCCUGGAAUAUGAAGUCUUCUUUUCGUUUUUCUUUAUUUUUUUAAUAUUUAAUUAUUUGCCACAUCAUCACUUAACUGUCAAAUUGACGAUUUGACUAACAGAUGUAUGAAAUUGCAAUGGAAUGAUAAAUAAUGUAUGAAAUUGAAUAUCUUUUAUUGGAUGUGAU